Coffea arabica (coffee) is the source of this 2423-nucleotide RNA transcript. It is a transcript of the gene named protein PTST homolog 3, chloroplastic, with no coding region annotated. The record is from RefSeq and is a predicted model, not a curated record. Lineage: Eukaryota; Viridiplantae; Streptophyta; Magnoliopsida; Gentianales; Rubiaceae.
GUCUGGCUUUGCAGGCAGGCAGAGAGCUGAUUUGAUUCCAUGACAUGACGAGGAUUAGGGAGCAGAGCGCCCUCCUGCUACAGCUUUCUGCCAGUGUAGCGCUUAUUCAUCCAGAAGGGCAGAAAGAUAAUGCCUUUUGGUUCCUACUACAGCUUACUACGAGACAAGAGGGGUCCUUGAUUCCUUAAAUGUUACUACUAAUUCCUAACUAGUGCUAGUAGUGGUAACCCAAAAGGCUUCAAUUUCCAAUGCUGCAAAAAUCCGUUUUUCGGGAUUCACUUGCCGGUUCUCUAUGCUAGCAAUGUCUGCACUGUGUAGCCGCUUUCCCCCAGUCUUCCAUUCCCUCACUUCCUAUAAACUUUCAUCCCUUCCCUACCACAACUACCUCCCCGCUUAUCCCCACCGGAACCGCUUGAGAACUUGGGCCUCUGUAUCCAAGAAACCCAGGGGCAGCAGAAGGGCGAAAAGCAAUGAGGAUCUUUACAACGAUAUUAGAGAAUUCUUAUCCGCUGUUGGCCUCCCUUACGAUCAUGUUCCCUCCAUGAAACAGCUCUCAGAGCAUGGAAGGCAGGACCUUGCAAAUAUUGUUAGACGAAGAGGAUAUAAAUUUAUAAGAGAGCUCCUAACAAGAUCAGCAGAAAUGCAAAUCAACAUUUCUAUCACAGAGGAAAAAUUGACAGGAGGGCAGCAUAUCCCUAGUGGCGGUGAAGGUCAUCAUGAGAAAGUCAAAGACUCAUGUGAGGAUACUUCCUUGUUGAGUGAAGCUAACGAAAUAAAAGAGCAUGAAAAAAGCUUAGUUGAAGAUGCUCAAACUAAUACAGGGCUCGAUUCAGACAAAGAUGAUUCUUGUAGUCCAGAAUCUUCAAUUUAUCCAUUGUUGCAGGACAAGGUGGCCAAAUUUAUCCAGGAUGGAGAAUUGGAUGACGUUGAAGACAGUGGAUUUGACAUUCUGAAUGAAAGAACUUCACAAGAUUCCACAGCAAUUGCUCAAUCACCAUAUGCUAUUGAAUCAAACUCGAUUUCAGUUCUUGGGCAGCAGAAUGAUCCUGUGCUCAAUAGUGCUGAUACAGUGAAUGGAAACAUGGCAUCAUCCUCUCAUCAGGUUGAACACAGAGUAAUGGAAACUAGUUCCUCAAGGAUUGAGAGUCAUUCAAGUGAAGAGGCGAAUAUUAUUGACUUUAAAGAGGAUCAAGAAAUUGAGGCCCAAAACUUGGGGAAUCAAGCUGAAAUUAAUCAUCUAAAGUUCAUUCUGCAUCAGAAGGAGUUGGAACUGACCCAGUUGAAGGAAGAGAUUGAGAAAGAAAAGGUUGCUCUGUCUAUUUUGCAGACUAAGGCAGACAGAGAGAUUAUUAAAGCCCAAAAACUUAUCCUGGAAAAAGAUGCCGAACUGCAGGCUGCUGAAGAGAGCCUUUCAGAACUGAAGGAGGUUGAAAUUCAGUACUGGGGAGAGGGUGAAGUUGUUGAGGUGGCCGGUAGCUUCAAUGGUUGGCAUCAGAAGAUUAAAAUGGAUUCACAGCCAUCUUCCAGCCUCUCAGACCCAAAUGGAUCACGGAAAUCUCGACUUUGGAGAUCAGUAUUGUGGCUUUAUCCUGGGGUUUACGAGAUAAAGUUCAUUGUGGAUGGCCAUUGGACAGUUGAUCCUCAGAGGGAGUCAGUUACCAGGGACACCAUGCAUAACAACAUACUUCGAGUUGUUAGAUGAUAAAAGCAAUAUACUUUUUUGAUGUACAUACCUAAGAGAAUGUCAGGUAUCAUUUUGGCCCCGCUUGCCACCCAGAUUCUGCUGCCCUGCAGUGGAUUUCCGCUAAACGUGUAGUAAUCAUGUGAAAUCGGUGCACUUCUGAACUGGAUGGAUUCAGAUUUUGCAUUGUAGGAAGGGGGUUCAGAUGUCUCUGUAGCUCUGAAUUACGUUAGUGCUGCUGCUGCUGAAGAGUACAUUUAUAAUUAAGGUGCAAACACGACCGGAGAUCAACCGUAAAGUUUGGGGAAAAUGAUCCUGAAAGAAGAAUCAGUUGUAAACUACGUGAGAACAGGUUAUGCCCAAAAGAUCAUUUUUAAACUUAGCAGGCUGGAGAAAUAAGAUAUCGAAAUUUCUAUUAUAAUUAAACUUCAUGCUAAAUGUUAUGGAGGAGAGGGAGUCUAAAGUGGCUUAUGUAGGGAUUGAAAUUUCGAUUAUAAUUAAAUUUCAUGCUAAAUGUUACAAGGGAAGGAGAGUUUAAAGAUGUCAUUGGAGAUGAGGAAACUAAAGAAGCUUGUGUAAGGUUGGGUCUAGUGAUUCAUUAGACGAGAUAAGUACAUUACUGUACUCUCUGAAUUUUUAAAAAACAAGAAAAAGGAAUUACAACCUUUGAUCUAAUACAAUACACGGGAGAGAAAGAAGCUUUCCUUGACUAUUGGAUCAAAGGCCAAUGGUUUGAGAACCA